CACGUAGGGUGCGAGCGUUGUCCGGAAUUAUUGGGCGUAAAGAGCUCGUAGGCGGUCUGUUGCGUCGGCUGUGAAAACCCGGGGCUCAACCCCGGGCCUGCAGCCGAUACGGGCAGACUAGAGUUCGGCAGGGGAGACUGGAAUUCCUGGUGUAGCGGUGAAAUGCGCAGAUAUCAGGAGGAACACCGGUGGCGAAGGCGGAUCUCUGGGCCAUUACUGACGCUGAGGAGCGAAAGCGUGGGGAGCAAACAGG
This 253-nucleotide ribosomal RNA is filed under the name uncultured bacterium. RNAcentral describes it as "partial 16S ribosomal RNA". It matches the Rfam family "Bacterial small subunit ribosomal RNA", at positions 524 to 776 of the family's 1533-position model. The record is from RNAcentral.